CCAGAAUCCUAUGGGCGGCAUCAGUGGCGAAUUUUUGACAAUGAGGGAAACCCUGAUCCUAUCAUGCCGCGUGCAGGAUGAAGGCUUUCGGGUGGUAA
Molecule: ribosomal RNA, 98 nt
Filed under: uncultured bacterium
Lineage: Bacteria
Description: partial 16S ribosomal RNA
Source: RNAcentral